GGGCAGGGUGAGUCGACCCCUAAGGCGAGGCCGAAAGGCGUAGUCGAUGGGAAACGGGUUAAUAUUCCCGUACUUGGUGUUACUGCGAAGGGGGGACGGAGAAGGCUAUGUUGGCCGGGCGACGGUUGUCCCGGUUUAAGCGUGUAGGUGUGUGUUCCAGGUAAAUCCGGUUCACUUUAACACUGAGGCGUGACGACGAGGCACUACGGUGCUGAAGCAACAAAUGCCCUGCUUCCAGGAAAAGCCUCUAAGCAUCAGGUAACAUCAAAUCGUACCCCAAACCGACACAGGUGGUCAGGUAGAGAAUACCAAGGCGCUUGAGAGAACUCGGGUGAAGGAACUAGGCAAAAUGGUGCCGUAACUUCGGGAGAAGGCACGCUGACACGUAGGUGAAGUGAUUUACUCAUGGAGCUGAAGUCAGUCGAAGAUACCAGCUGGCUGCAACUGUUUAUUAAAAACACAGCACUGUGCAAACACGAAAGUGGACGUAUACGGUGUGACGCCUGCCCGGUGCCGGAAGGUUAAUUGAUGGGGUCAGCGCAAGCGAAGCUCCUGAU
Molecule: ribosomal RNA, 557 nt
Filed under: Salmonella enterica subsp. enterica serovar Oslo
Lineage: Bacteria; Pseudomonadati; Pseudomonadota; Gammaproteobacteria; Enterobacterales; Enterobacteriaceae
Description: partial 23S ribosomal RNA
Rfam family: Bacterial large subunit ribosomal RNA
Source: RNAcentral